Molecule: non-coding RNA, 29 nt
Filed under: Bombyx mori (domestic silkworm)
Lineage: Eukaryota; Metazoa; Arthropoda; Insecta; Lepidoptera; Bombycidae
Source: RNAcentral
UACACGGUAAUAACUUCACGUCAAGUGUC